AGUUUUUGUUUAUGUGGGUUCUAUCUAACUAUAAUUAUGCUAUUACAAGUUAAAAUUGAGAAAUAAUUGUGAGAUUCCUUUUAAACUGAAGUAUGAUGUACACAGUAAGAUUCAACUAUAUUUGGUUCUGUGAAUUCUGGCGAAUGCAUAGUCCUGUGACCACUACCACAAUCAAUACCAUAAUAUAGAACCUUCGCACAACCUCCCCCCACCCCAAAAUUACCUCCUGUCCCUCUAUAGUCCAGUCUACCACCCACCUCCAGCCCUUGGCAACCAUUGACCAAGAGUGAAAAAAGUUUUAAAAUCCAAAAAUACCAGAUGAUUUUGCCCAACUGUAGGCUAAUGUAAGUGUUCUGUUCAUUAAAGGGAGGCUAGGCUAAGUUGCGAUGUUCAGAAGGGUCGAUGCAUUAAAUGCAUUUUUGACCUAUGAUGAUGGUUUAUGGGAACGUAACAGCAUCACAGUUUACGGAAGAUCUGUACUCCUCAUUCCAUGAAGGUAACAAUGCCUGCAGCCUGGCCCCAUGCUCCUGCUCUAAACAGCAUGAGUGUGGCUGUCAUUGACUGAUAGAAGUUCUUAAAAAUAAAGAUAUAUUACUAAUGUAUAAUGACAACGCUGCUGCCAAGAACCAGGCACUGCCUGCUCUAACAUCCAUCAGGGAGAUCAAGGAUUUGCAGCAUCUGGAAGAUCACAAGGUCAUCCGUCAGAGCCUUACGCAUCUCUCAGCUGCUGGGAUUAUUUUGCAGUUUUCAGGGGGUGUACCUCAAAAGUCUCCAGAGAGCAGAGAGGGAAUCUAAAUGUGAAGCUUGCUGUUGGCUGACUGUAGCCUUGACAUUGCCAGGCAAGCUGCUUGGAGGUCCCCGGUGCUAGUGGCCAGAGAAAAACGCGGACCUGAUGGUGGAGGAACACUGCUUCCCUCUUUCCCAAGAAGUCAUGGCCCUGUUCUGUGAAAUCUCUCCAAAUUUUAUUAAUAUUAAAAAUUACCAUUUUUUAAAAAAGAACAGCUCUGUUACAACGUAAGUACAUACCACACAAUUUACGCUUUUGAAGCAUGUAAUUUAAUGAUCAGUUGAUGAACAUUUGGGUUGUUUCCACUUUCUGAUAUUAUAAAUAAUGAUACUGUGCAAGUUUCGUGUGCACUGCAUUCUCAUUUUUUAUGGGCAUAUGUCUAUAAGUGGUCUUAACUUAUUUUAAUUUAACUCAGUGUUUAAAUUUUUGAGAAACCACCAAACUUGUUUUCCAC
This 1241-nucleotide long non-coding RNA is filed under the name Suricata suricatta (meerkat). Its description in RNAcentral is "lncRNA (ENSSSUG00005020228.1)". The record is from RNAcentral. Lineage: Eukaryota; Metazoa; Chordata; Mammalia; Carnivora; Herpestidae.